This 497-nucleotide ribosomal RNA is filed under the name uncultured bacterium. RNAcentral's name for it is "partial 16S ribosomal RNA". It matches the Rfam family "Bacterial small subunit ribosomal RNA", at positions 28 to 507 of the family's 1533-position model. The record is from RNAcentral.
GAUGAACGCUGGCGGCGUGCCUAAUACAUGCAAGUCAAGCGAACGGACGAGAAGCUUGCUUCUCUGAUGUUAGCGGCGGACGGGUGAGUAACACGUGGAUAACCUACCUAUAAGACUGGGAUAACUUCGGGAAACCUGAGCUAAUACCGGAGAAUAUUUUGAACCGCAUGGUUCAAAAGUGAAAGACGGUCUUGCUGUCACUUAUAGAUGGAUCCGCGCUGCAUUAGCUAGUUGGUAAGGUAACGGCUUACCAAGGCAACGAUGCAUAGCCGACCUGAGAGGGUGAUCGGCCACACUGGAACUGAGACACGGUCCAGACUCCUACGGGAGGACGCAGUAGGGAAUCUUCCGCAAUGGGGGAAAGCCUGACGGAGCAACGCCGCGUGAGUGAUGAAGGUCUUCGGCUCGUAAAACUCUGUUAUUAGGGAAGAACAUAUGUGUAAGUAACUGUGCACAUCUUGACGGUACCUAAUCAGAAAGCCACGGCUAACUCCGUG